Molecule: non-coding RNA, 1049 nt
Organism: Pleuronectes platessa (European plaice)
Lineage: Eukaryota; Metazoa; Chordata; Actinopteri; Pleuronectiformes; Pleuronectidae
Source: the annotation of a RefSeq genome assembly
UUUUGAAAAUUAUAUUGCACGUCUACUCACUCUGUAAUUCAAUGGGAAUGAAAUACACAUAUUUGCAUCAAUGAAAGUGACACAAUUUGAAUCCAGAUGCUGACGACCCUCAAUUCUUCUUCUUCAUAUUUAGUGUAAAUCCAAACAGCAACGCUCCUGAGUUUGUGUCCCACGUCACCUUCAGUCCGCUCAGAGCAGAGGAAUCAUUUCCAUAGAGAGGAGGCUUUGCAUCGUCAGCUGAUCCUCCACUGAACUGAGAAGCUUUAUAGUCCUGUGACUCCAACUCUGCAGGACUCAGACCCGUCAGUCCACCACAACCACCAUGACUCUCAUCACCCUCCUCAUCUGGACGCUGGCCUGCUGCAGCUUCACAGGAUGCAGAGGCCAGGUGACUGUGACUCAGCCUCCAGUCGUGACAUUUACUCCAGGAUCCACUGUCACACUGACCUGUACAACCAACCUCAAAGUUGACACUUGUAGUUCUGUUGAUUGUAUGUACUGGUACCAGCAGAAACCUGGACAGGCUCCACAGCUACUAAUAUACAGGGUGAGCAAUAGACAUUCAGGGAUACCUGCUCGGUUUAGUGGAAGUGGAAGCAGCUCUGACUUCUCUUUGACCAUCAGUGGAGUUCAGAGUGAAGAUGCAGCAGUUUACUACUGUCUGAGCGGCCAUCUAGUAAAUGGAGCGGCUGUGUUGACACAGUGAUUUACAGUCGUACAAAAACCUCCCUCAGUCAGACGCAGAGACAUGAGCUGUUACAGCAGGAAGAGAGUGGGACACAGACCAGUGAACACAGAGACUGACAGUAACCUCACCAAGCACAACAGACACAAUCACACACUUUCAGACCUAAGAUGAAGCUCUUCAAAAUUUUAUUUUACUCACUACAUCACUUUAUUCCUACAAAUCAAUGAACAGUUUGUAAUAUUUAAAUAUCAUUUCACCUCAAGCUUUGCUUAUUCUCUUAUUUUCCACAGUCAACUCUGUAAAAUUUUACCAAGUUUGUACAAAAUAGAUUUUCUCAAGUAAAGUAUUUGCAGUAAAUAAA